GGGAUGACGUCAAGUCCUCAUGGCCCUUACGCGCUGGGCUACACACGUGCUACAAUGGCGGUGACAGUGGGCAGCAAUCCCGCAAGGGUGAGCUAAUCUCCAAAAGCCGUCUCAGUUCGGAUUGUUCUCUGCAACUCGAGAGCAUGAAGGCGGAAUCGCU
RNAcentral lists this ribosomal RNA (160 nucleotides) under Micrococcus sp. S3H3. RNAcentral describes it as "partial 16S ribosomal RNA". It matches the Rfam family "Bacterial small subunit ribosomal RNA", at positions 1176 to 1336 of the family's 1533-position model. The record is from RNAcentral. Lineage: Bacteria; Bacillati; Actinomycetota; Actinomycetes; Micrococcales; Micrococcaceae.